GUGGGGAUAGCUCAGCGGUAGAGCACCUGCUUAGCGUGCACGAGGUCCUGGGUUCAAUCCCCAGUGCCUCCA
RNAcentral lists this transfer RNA (72 nucleotides) under Camelus ferus (Wild Bactrian camel). It matches the Rfam family "tRNA". From Rfam's summary of the family: Transfer RNA (tRNA) molecules are approximately 80 nucleotides in length. The record is from Rfam by way of RNAcentral. Lineage: Eukaryota; Metazoa; Chordata; Mammalia; Artiodactyla; Camelidae.